UCUUGAAGUAAAAAAAAAAAAAAAAUUCGACUCGCUGCUGAAGGCGUUAAUACGACGCUAACGAAGCAUAGCCUUUCCGAAGCAUAGCUGGCAACAGUUCCACCCAUCUGUGCCGAGUGGGAUGUGCAAGCAGAAGUCAGGGCUGAAAGCCCUCCACCUGUUUGCAGAAAGUUUGUCCUUUCCAUGUGGGUCAAUGGCAGCUCAAUUCCUGAUACAUCAAAUCCAGAAACUUGCUGAGACCAUCAGUAUCUCUGGCAGCAUCACAUGGUACAGAUGACACUUACUGUGUCUGUGGUACAUGGCAAAUUUGUUCUCAGGAUCAGAAUUCUCUGUGGAUGUGGUACAUGUCAUGUUCUUCAGGAGCUCCUGCUAUGCUUAAGAAAAAGAAAAUUUUCAUCUGAAGCACACUAAUAAUUGUUGUAAAAUAAGAAGGUAUUUCCAAAAUGUCAAAGUUGCCCACAGCAUUUCCAUCAGGCCCUACAGUGACUUUACUGUUGGCUGAUUCCAGAGAGCCAUCUCAUUACUCUGAGUUGAAAUUUCUCCAUCUCCAAAAUUAGAGGAUUUGGGAUUCUGAAGUCAGUAGGAAAAUGCAUAUCUCUAUAGGCACAUUUCACUAGUGAUGGCCACAGAAUGAAGAUUGAGUGCUCCCCCGUGAAAACUACAAUAUCACUUUGGUUUGGUGAGCAUGCCAUGAUGGUACUCAGAAGUCCUGCAGUUGAAAACAGCUUUUCUACCCUAUCCAGAUGACAAGACCUUUGGGGCAUCAGGCACUUCAGAAACCUAAAUCCAGUGGGACAGUUGAAAGUUUGGUAAGAAUGUGCCUAACUGAACAGCUGGACAUGAGAAGAACCAGUGCUUCACUGCUGAGUGGGUUUGGCAGCACUGCUAGGACUGCAUAGCUGGGCUGACCUAGCUAAUCCUAGAACUGAAAAAACACCAUGGCAUAGCUUUUCAACUGUUUCAGGGAAAGUUAAUGAUUUUGUAUCCAAAGCUGAUAUGCAUAAUUCCAGAGGGAGGUUUUUUGGUUUUAGAUUGUAGUCAGUGGCUAGUAACCUUUGUGUCUGUAUCUAAACUCCCUUAGUGACCAUCUGCUGCUACAUAUGUAUGUUGUACAUAAAUACAUAUCUCAGCUGUCCCACAGGUGGAGGGCUGUCAUCAGGGCUUGCUUUAGCCAACCACACUGUGUGAAUCACAUACAGUGAUGGGAGCACAAAAUUUGGAUUGUUUGGCAUAUAGAAGCACUCAGAUUGCUUUAUCAAGAAGACUUUUCUGGUUUUAAGUUUCAUAAAUUUAUAACCUGAACUGAUUCAAAUAAGUUCAGCUUUCUCUUGUUACUGUGUUUUGUGCUUUUCUGAGAAGAUGAUUGAAAAAGAUGGAUGCUGAAAAAGAGGAGUGGCCUCUCACUGAUCUUAAGGUUUUGAAAUGUAUUAUCCUUUAAAAAAACCCCACAAACUAGUUUGCUAUAAUAGUUCCAGCAUCAACAGUCACUAAUCUAUUUUCCAUGCAAUGGCCAUAGUAAAAUAUAGGAGUGUGUAUUUAAUGUUUUGAUUUCAUUAAUCUAAAAGUACAAUU
Long non-coding RNA from Oenanthe melanoleuca, 1572 nucleotides. RefSeq lists it as uncharacterized. Lineage: Eukaryota; Metazoa; Chordata; Aves; Passeriformes; Muscicapidae. The transcript has 7 exons. The record is from RefSeq and is a predicted model, not a curated record.